Andrographis paniculata is the source of this 514-nucleotide long non-coding RNA. RefSeq lists it as uncharacterized. The record is from RefSeq and is a predicted model, not a curated record. Lineage: Eukaryota; Viridiplantae; Streptophyta; Magnoliopsida; Lamiales; Acanthaceae. The transcript is spliced from 4 exons.
GGAAACAGGUGUCGCUCUCAGCCACCACUGAGUCCAAGCGCAAUGAAAAUUUUCCGGUCAAAUAUACGAGGCAGAAUUCACGACGUAAACCUAAAAAGAUGAAGCACCUUGACAAAUUAGUUCUACCUCAGGUUGAGAUUAGGGAAACACAAGAAAAGUUCAGUAAUCACCAGUGUGGCCUAGAUUCGAAUGGCGAAAAGGCCUGUGGCAAGAGAAAAACAAGCACAACUAUCGCGGUAGAUUGUGGAUCUGAUGAUGAUGCUGUGACUCAGGGGCCGGAACAUCAAGAACUGAAUCAGAGUGUUGUGCGACAUCGACACCUUUGCCCGAUAAGAAGUUGUUAGCUGCUAUUUUUAUCAAGCUGCAAGAAAAGGAUGCUUACAGGGUAUUUUCUAAUUCCGUGGACGUCUUACAACUUCCUGAUUAUUACGAUGUGGUAAAGCAGCCGAUAGACUUUGCAACUAUUCGGAAGAAGCUAAGGAAAACUGUUACAAGUGUUUGGAGGACUUGGAGG